AAUAGAUACCCAGGUAGUCCACGCCGUAAACGAUGAGUGCUAGGUGUUAGGGGGUUUCCACCCCUUAGUGCUGCAGCUAACGCAUUAAGCACUCCGCCUGGGGAGUACGGUCGCAAGACUGAAACUCAAAGGAAUUGACGGGGGCCCGCACAAGCGGUGGAGCAUGUGGUUUAAUUCGAAGCAACGCGAAGAACCUUACCAGGUCUUGACAUCCCGCUGACCGCCAUGGAGACAUGGCUUUCCCUUCGGGGACAGCGGUGACAGGUGGUGCAUGGUUGUCGUCAGCUCGUGUCGUGAGAUGUUGGGUUAAGUCCCGCAACGAGCGCAACCCUUGUCCUUAGUUGCCAUCAUUCAGUUGGGCACUCUAAGGAGACUGCCGUACAAAUACGGAGGAAGGUGGGGAUGACGUCAAAUCAUCAUGCCCCUUAUGACCUGGGCUACACACGUGCUACAAUGGGCAGUACAAAGGGCUGCGAACCCGCGAGGGGGAGCCAAUCCCAAAAAGCUGCUCUCAGUUCGGAUUGC
This 525-nucleotide ribosomal RNA is filed under the name uncultured bacterium. RNAcentral describes it as "bacterial SSU rRNA". It matches the Rfam family "Bacterial small subunit ribosomal RNA", at positions 777 to 1301 of the family's 1533-position model. The record is from RNAcentral.